RNAcentral lists this ribosomal RNA (468 nucleotides) under uncultured bacterium. Its description in RNAcentral is "partial 16S ribosomal RNA". It matches the Rfam family "Bacterial small subunit ribosomal RNA", at positions 28 to 507 of the family's 1533-position model. The record is from RNAcentral.
GACGAACGCUGGCGGCGUGCUUAACACAUGCAAGUCGAACGGAAAGGCCCUGCUUUUGUGGGGUGCUCGAGUGGCGAACGGGUGAGUAACACGUGAGUAACCUGCCCGUGACUUUGGGAUAACUUCAGGAAACUGGGGCUAAUACCGGAUAGGAGCUCCUGCUGCAUGGUGGGGGUUGGAAAGUUUCGGCGGUUGGGGAUGGACUCGCGGCUUAUCAGCUUGUUGGUGGGGUAGUGGCUUACCAAGGCUUUGACGGGUAGCCGGCCUGAGAGGGUGACCGGCCACAUUGGGACUGAGAUACGGCCCAGACUCCUACGGGAGGCAGCAGUGGGGAAUAUUGCACAAUGGGCGGAAGCCUGAUGCAGCAACGCCGCGUGCGGGAUGACGGCCUUCGGGUUGUAAACCGCUUUCGCCUGUGACGAAGCGUGAGUGGCGGUAAUGGGUAAAGAAGCACCGGCUAACUACGUG